AGCUUUAAGUUUUAUUUAAAGUGAGACCUGCCCAGUGCUAAUUAGUAAACGGCCGCAGUACCUUGACUGUGCUAAGGUAGCAUAAUCAGUUGGCUUUUAAAUGGAGUCGGGAAUGAAUGGAUUAAUAGGGUUAAGCUGUCUCUACUAUAUUAAAUUGAACUUACUUAUUAGGUGAAAAUGCCUAAGUUGUAAAAGAAAAAAGACGAGAAGACCCUAGGAGUUUUAACUAGAUGCUAUUUAUUAUAGUUAAUGUUUUUGUUGGGGCGACAUUGGAACAAUUUUAUUUAACUUCCUUUAUGUUUAUAGGCCGACUUUGUAUGUAAAUCUAAACUACCCUAGGGAUAACAGCGUAAUUCUUUUUGAGCUUGCGACCUCGAUGUUGGACUAGGAAUUUGGUGGGCUAGCCGCCUAUUUAUAUUGUUCUGUUCGAACUGUUUUUCC
This 441-nucleotide ribosomal RNA is filed under the name Plakobranchus sp. 'white' JEV-2014. Its description in RNAcentral is "partial 16S ribosomal RNA". It matches the Rfam family "Archaeal large subunit ribosomal RNA", at positions 1924 to 2664 of the family's 2987-position model. Lineage: Eukaryota; Metazoa; Mollusca; Gastropoda; Plakobranchidae. The record is from RNAcentral.